CGCCUUAUAUCUCUCCUUACCUGUUUUCAGUACAAUUAAUAAAAGUCUGAUGUCCCACAUCAGAGGGUCAAGUGAGAUUCACACGAGAGACGUGAAGAACAGAACUGACAGAGGAAUAACCAAGCAGCUGCAGACGACAGCUCAAAAGAGUUCAUGGAGAACAGAGUUGAGAUCCAUCAGGUUCUGGAAAAGGAAAGACAACAGCAGGGGAAUCACAGGGGCUCCCGAGGGAACCGUUUGACCUACUGCAUGGACGUCGACUCCGGGAGCGUCUGAGAAAUAAGAGCAUCACUGUUGCUACCCAACAGCAGAUGGAUACAAUUUUGAAAGAUUAAACAGAUAAGUAUUUACAUUUCUUCCUCUGCCCUUUAUUUAUGUUAUGAAGAGAGUGCAUGCCAAGCCAAGCCAAGCCAAGCCAGGCCAGGCCAGGCCAAGCCUCCUUUUGUGCUUUUUAUGGUGCUUUCAAAGUAGGAACAAAUGAGCUUUCAAAAACAACACGAGUUCACCAGGAGUUUAUAGCUGUCUAAUGUAAUAGGGCUUUUAGCUAAGUGAUGCUAACAUGCUGAACGUGAUGACUGAGUAUUAUUGUGAAAAUGAACACACUGCAACUCACACUGGAGAGCAUCUCUCACUGGCAAGUGUAUUUAUUUGUAGUAAUGCUAUGAUUAUGUAUGACAGAGAAAAUAUUUAUGUUAUUCUUACGUAUGCUUAAUGUUUAAUUAUGAAAUAGCAUUUCCUCCAAGGCACUGUAAGCCUCUUGCAGUAUUUUGAAGCUUUCCCAUUGGCUGACCAGCGAGUCCUUAAGAUACCUUUUAUUUCGGAACAUAAGUGAAGAAAAGUCAAAUUUCUGAUAGAUCGAGAGCAAAAACAAAAACACACCCACGUCAAACAGCUUCAGGACCAAGGACAAAGCUAUCAUUUUAGUUAAACUUUAUGAUCCGAAUGAAUACUCUGACCUUCGUAAACCCUCAGUAGGACCGAGAACUGAAGCAGAACAACACAAAAUUCCAAUCUUCAGACAAAUGUGUGAUGUUGACACUUACAUCCUGUUGUGGGAUUUAAACCUUAAGAAUCCUGUGUUGAGGGUUUAACCUGGAAGCAGGAUCAAAUAUAAGCUGUGGCCACAGUAAUUGUCAGCCCUGGAUGAAACUCACCCUAUUUACAGAACGCCUCUUUCCUUCGGUGCACUUGAAACAUCUAAUACAGCUUCUUUAAGAUCUCCUUGUGCGGUCCAUUUCCUUCAACCCUCUCAACGAGGAAGGUGGCCCAGGCUAACCGGCAGAGUGUACCGGCAGAGUGUACCGGCAGAGCCGGUACAGAUCAACCUGGGUGUCAUUUACAAUAGGUGUCAAACGAGGGGCCCAAACAAAGGCAUCAAUGAAUGUUGUCCACGUCAGUGUUACAGUUUUUCUCGAUUGCUUUGGUGCAUUUCUCAUGUAGCACAAUUAACAUUUGCAAAGCAACAUCCCCCCACCGUGAUGUCACUUAUGUGCAGCAUUUCUCAUUGCGUCACACAAAUUUCCAAAUGUUUUACUACAUAUACUGAGUGACAGAGGGCCUAAACAUUUGUAACACACUUGGAUUGGUCUGGGUUGGAGGUCCAGUGUGAUGGGCUUGCAGGGGGCCCAACGUCUCUAGCAGCACCCCUGCCCACAGUACCUGGUUUGAUUGUUCUUGUACUGCAGCUUUGUGUGACUAUUCUGUUUGCUAUUGUACUGUCUUGACAAGUUACAUGUGCAUGUGAGUGCUUUCUCAUGCCAGUGAACUUUACACACUGUAAUGCAGAGCCUUGCGAUGUUGAAACUGGUGUCUCUGAUAUGAAUAAAUAUGAGUUUGAUAAAGUUGGUGCAAUCAUUUGCUUUCGAGACACGAGUUAAUUGUUUCGGGUAAGUUACGGGCUUUUGCAGCUAAACCACAGUGCCGUGAUGUAUGCCGGAACUGUUCUGAGAAAUGUUCUUAUGGUCUUCAGAAUGUUUCAUGAAAUGUGCCAGAGCAACGGAGAAAAGCCGUAAUCUGAGGGAGCAAAGGGACCCUGAAAAGCUCAAAUGUUCUGUGUUUUGUCUGUAUCCUGUUUUCCAGAUUUUUGGUGUUCUGACCCAGUGGAGUAUUGUUGGCCCAAGAUAAGACGUCAUGAAACACCUCAACAGAUGUGUCGCUCUAGCUUCAGUCCUCCCAGACUUCAAGACCAGCAGCACGACGUAUUGGGCAAAGCCGACCACAUGCAGCUUUGAAGGAUUCCCUGGUGGGAGGGUUUAGAUGGGGUGAACCUAAAACCUACAAGCCACAGGUCCAACUAGGAAGACAAGAAUAGCACGAUACUGGAUUAGAGAGGAACGUAAAGAAUCGGCGAUGGAAGGUCAUCGACUCAUGUUGCAUCAGAAGACGUGAUCCAGGCAGCCGUCUGACUCCCGGCCAAGGGACUCUGCUUUCUCUGGAUUUGGACCACCAUCCGGAGGCCGUGUGUGGUAGCAGAUCGGGGUCCCAGCUGUGAGAUCAGUCAACUCCCAGCAGGCCGAGCUGCGCGGUCGACCAGGCCAAAGACAUGGCACUGCAUAUGGGCGGUCCGGUGUAUCGGAUUCUACGUCGACACCAGAGCCGAAUUCUGCUUUUUCACUUACUGGCUCUGAGUAUGAGGAACAUUUGUUGCUGCCGUGAAAUGUAUUGUGUACAACAAGCAAUCAUUUAAAAAAGUUCA
Molecule: long non-coding RNA, 2695 nt
Organism: Brienomyrus brachyistius
Lineage: Eukaryota; Metazoa; Chordata; Actinopteri; Osteoglossiformes; Mormyridae
Exons: 3
Source: RefSeq, a predicted model, not a curated record